UCCCCUAGUACUGCGAGUGAAGCGGGAAAAGCUCAAAUUUAAAAUCUGGCGGUCUUUGGCCGUCCGAAUUGUAGUCUGGAGAAGUGCUUUCCGCGCUGGACCGUGUAUAAGUCUCUUGGAACAGAGCGUCAUAGAGGGUGAGAAUCCCGUCUUUGACACGGACUACCAGUGCUUUGUGAUGCGCUCUCAAAGAGUCGAGUUGUUUGGGAAUGCAGCUCAAAAUGGGUGGUGAAUUCCAUCUAAAGCUAAAUAUUGGCGAGAGACCGAUAGCGAACAAGUACCGUGAGGGAAAGAUGAAAAGCACUUUGGAAAGAGAGUUAAACAGUACGUGAAAUUGCUGAAAGGGAAACGCUUGAAGUCAGUCGCGUUGUCCGGAACUCAGCCUUGCUUUUGCUUGGUGCACUUUUCGGAUAACGGGUCAGCAUCGAUUUUGACCGUCGGAAAAGGGCUAGGGUAAUGUGGCACUUUCGGGUGUGUUAUAAACUCUAGUCGCAUACGGCGGUUGUGAUCGAGGAACGCAGCGCGCCGUAAGGCAGGGGUUCGCCCACUUUCGCGCUUAGGAUGCUGGCAUAAUGGCUUUAAACGACCCGUCUUGAAACACGGACCAAGGAGUCUAACAUACCUGCGAGUGUUUGGGUGGAAAACCCGAGCGCGUAAUGAAAGUGAAAGUUGAGACCUCUGUCGUGGAGGGCAUCGACGCCCGGACCUGACGUUCUCUGACGGAUCCGCGGUAGAGCAUGUAUGUUGGGACCCGAAAGAUGGUGAACUAUGCCUUGAAUAGGGUGAAGCCAGAGGAAACU
This 800-nucleotide ribosomal RNA is filed under the name Amauroderma ovisporum. RNAcentral's name for it is "partial large subunit ribosomal RNA". It matches the Rfam family "Eukaryotic large subunit ribosomal RNA", at positions 76 to 863 of the family's 3401-position model. The record is from RNAcentral. Lineage: Eukaryota; Fungi; Basidiomycota; Agaricomycetes; Polyporales; Polyporaceae.